CCUACGGGGGGCAGCAGUGGGGAAUAUUGCGCAAUGGGCGAAAGCCUGACGCAGCGACGCCGCGUGAGGGAUGAAGGUCUUCGGAUCGUUAACCUCUGUCAGCAGGGAAGAACGGUCACUGUGCUAAUCAGCAGUGAAUUGACGGUACCUGCAAAGGAAGCACCGGCUAACACCGUGCCAACAGCCGCGGUAAUACGGAGGGUGCGAGCGUUAAUCGGAAUUACUGGGCGUAAAGGGAGCGUAGGCGGUAUGUCAAGUCAAGGGUGAAAUCCCCGCGCUCAACGUGGGAACUGCCUUUGAAACUGGCAAACUGGAGUGUGUGAGAGGAUAGUGGAAUUCCAGGUGUAGGAGUGAAAUCCGUAGAUAUCUGGAGGAACAUCAGUGGCGAAGGCGACUAUCUGGCACAUAACUGACGCUGAGGAGCGAAAGCGUGGGUAGCAAACAGGAUUAGAUACCCGUGUAGUC
This 465-nucleotide ribosomal RNA is filed under the name uncultured bacterium. RNAcentral's name for it is "partial 16S ribosomal RNA". It matches the Rfam family "Bacterial small subunit ribosomal RNA", at positions 338 to 795 of the family's 1533-position model. The record is from RNAcentral.